Long non-coding RNA from Acanthopagrus latus (yellowfin seabream), 1138 nucleotides. RefSeq lists it as uncharacterized. NCBI's taxonomy places the organism in Eukaryota, Metazoa, Chordata, Actinopteri, Spariformes, Sparidae. The transcript has 4 exons. The record is from RefSeq and is a predicted model, not a curated record.
UCCACUCGUGCUUUCAGGUCCAGUUUUUUGUUUUUUGUUUUUGUUUUUUGUUUUUUUAAAUAAAAGUCACUUUUCUGAUCUGCGAUAUAUACGAUCUUUGUCUGACACACUGGCGACGCGCACAAAUAAAAAAGAAAACUGCUGCCGACCAGGACGAUUUUCGCCCAGAAGACGAUAAAACGGCGUUGUUGGAGGUUAAAGUUAGUAUCACAUCUUCUUCGUGAUCUUCUCGUCGGUCACAUCAGCGGUGUAGAAGAAGAAACAGCGCAGUCUUGGACUCACUCUGACGGGUUUCUUCUGGCCUUCGCACCCCAAACUCUCCCAACUCGUCCUCCAUCGUCAGGGCGAGCUGCUAUUUUUCUCUUCUUUUCUCGUUACUUUUCCUCGCUGUCUUCGUGUGAGUCACAGGGAUCAUCAGAGUAUCACUCAGGCUCCAGUCUGCCACAUGACAACCUCAGCAGCUCACUGCAGGCCUCUAUUAGAGCAAGUGACUGUAAAUCAGCCGUUUCCUGGAUGUGAUUUACUGCACCGUGGGUCGUCUCGCUCGGUGUAUCAUGUUGCAGGCGGCGUCUUCCAGAAAUCCCUUUCUGAAAUGAGCUGGAGCUUUUUUUUUUUUUUUUUUUUUUUUUCACAAAGCAUUUUAAUGCAGAUGUUUUCAUGAAAUAAAUGACUUAACAGCAACAACUGGGAGCGCCAGAAGAUUUAUUGUUUUCAGGUUGUCAAUGGAUACAGCCAAGAAUGAUGCCAGGAGGUCUCUGGCCACAUUAUUAAGUGGCUGAGGCAUGUGGAUUUACAGCAGGUUCCAGACGUGCCAGCCUUCGUCAUACAUCAUCUUCUACAUCCCACUAAUUCACUUAUUACACAGCGAAGGAGAUUAAUACGAGGAGGCUCCGCGGCUAACGGUCCGUUCAAAGGGCUGGUUUGUUCUGGGCUUUCGUGGUUUACACGCGCGAGGAUGUAGUUUCUGAGAAAACAACUGCAUUUGUUUUUGAAAUACUGCACACUCAUGGAAAAUUGUCAGAAUUAUAAAUAUGCCGGACGUCAGAAAAGAAAGAAAGCAUUCAGGAGCCGGGCCUAAGUUACUCAUUAUUUGAAUGAUGACACAUUUAAAUCCCCCUUUUCCUGCGAGAAAGUCAAC